Molecule: ribosomal RNA, 404 nt
Filed under: Actinomycetes bacterium
Lineage: Bacteria; Bacillati; Actinomycetota; Actinomycetes
Description: Actinobacteria bacterium partial 16S ribosomal RNA
Rfam family: Bacterial small subunit ribosomal RNA
Source: RNAcentral
AGGGGAAUAUUGGACAAUGGGCGCAAGCCUGUUCCAGCCAUGCCGCGUGAGUGAUGAAGGCCCUAGGGUUGUAAAGCUCUUUCACCGGUGAAGAUAAUGACGGUAACCGGAGAAGAAGCCCCGGCUAACUUCGUGCCAGCAGCCGCGGUAAUACGAAGGGGGCUAGCGUUGUUCGGAUUUACUGGGCGUAAAGCGCACGUAGGCGGUCUAUUAAGUCAGGGGUGAAAUCCCGGGGCUCAACCCCGGAACUGCCUUUGAUACUGGUAGUCUUGAGUUCGAGGGAGGUGAGUGGAAUUCCGAGUGUAGAGGUGAAAUUCGUAGAUAUUCGGAGGAACACCAGUGGCGAAGGCGGCUCACUGGCUCGAUACUGACGCUGAGGUGCGAAAGCGUGGGGAGCAAACAGG